This 253-nucleotide ribosomal RNA is filed under the name uncultured bacterium. Its description in RNAcentral is "partial 16S ribosomal RNA". It matches the Rfam family "Bacterial small subunit ribosomal RNA", at positions 524 to 776 of the family's 1533-position model. The record is from RNAcentral.
UACGAAGGGGACUAGCGUUGUUCGGAAUCACUGGGCGUAAAGCGCACGUAGGCGGAUGUGUCAGUCAGGGGUGAAAUCCCGGGGCUCAACCUCGGAACUGCCUUUGAUACAGCACGUCUCGAGUCCGGAAGAGGUGGGUGGAAUUCCUAGUGUAGAGGUGAAAUUCGUAGAUAUUAGGAAGAACACCGGUGGCGAAGGCGGCCCACUGGUCCGGUACUGACGCUGAGGAGCGAAAGCGUGGGUAGCGAACAGG